Molecule: unclassified non-coding RNA, 279 nt
Organism: Callithrix jacchus (white-tufted-ear marmoset)
Lineage: Eukaryota; Metazoa; Chordata; Mammalia; Primates; Cebidae
Rfam family: Metazoan signal recognition particle RNA
About the family: The signal recognition particle (SRP) is a universally conserved ribonucleoprotein. It is involved in the co-translational targeting of proteins to membranes. The eukaryotic SRP consists of a 300-nucleotide 7S RNA and six proteins: SRPs 72, 68, 54, 19, 14, and 9.
Source: Ensembl
GCUGGGCAUAGUGGUACAUGUCUGUAGUCCCAGCUAUUCGGGAGGCUGAGGUGGGAGGAUAGCUUGGGUCCAGAAGUUCUGCACUGUGAUCUGCACUAUGCUCCACAUCAGUAUAUGAAUGCCUGGGAACAGGGUGCCACCAGGUUGCCUAAGCGGGGAUGAAUCGGCCCAGCUCAGAAAGGGAGCAGGUCAAAAUUCCCUUGCUGAUCAGUAGUGGGAUCAUGCCUAUGAAUCAUCACUGCACUCCAGUCUGAGCAACAUAGGAAGACCUUGACUUUU